RNAcentral lists this ribosomal RNA (468 nucleotides) under uncultured bacterium. RNAcentral's name for it is "partial 16S ribosomal RNA". It matches the Rfam family "Bacterial small subunit ribosomal RNA", at positions 28 to 507 of the family's 1533-position model. The record is from RNAcentral.
GACGAACGCUGGCGGCGUGCUUAACACAUGCAAGUCGAACGGAAAGGCCCUGCUUUUGUGGAGUGCUCGAGUGGCGAACGGGUGAGUAACACGUGAGUAACCUGCCCUUGACUUUGGGAUAACUUCAGGAAACUGGGGCUAAUACCGGAUAGGAGCUCCUGCUGCAUGGUGGGGGUUGGAAAGUUUCGGCGGUUGGGGAUGGACUCGCGGCUUAUUAGCUUGUUGGUGGGGUAGUGGCUUACCAAGGCUUUGACGGGUAGCCGGCCUGAGAGGGUGACCGGCCACAUUGGGACUGAGAUACGGCCCAGACUCCUACGGGAGGCAGCAGUGGGGAAUAUUGCACAAUGGGCGGAAGCCUGAUGCAGCAACGCCGCGUGCGGGAUGACGGCCUUCGGGUUGUAAACCGCUUUCGCCUGUGACGAAGCGUGAGUGACGGUAAUGGGUAAAGAAGCACCGGCUAACUACGUG